This 86-nucleotide microRNA precursor is filed under the name Prunus dulcis (almond). RNAcentral describes it as "sRNA ncRNA". The record is from RNAcentral. Lineage: Eukaryota; Viridiplantae; Streptophyta; Magnoliopsida; Rosales; Rosaceae.
UAUAAUAGUAUAGCCGCACGGCUAUACUAUUUAUUUGAAUUUUAAAAAAAUAGUAUAUAGUAUAGCCGUUCGGCUAUACUCUUUUU